GCUGGGCAUGGUCGUGGGUGCCUAUAAUCCCAGCUACUUGGGAGGCUGAGGCAGGAGAAUCACUUGAACCCAGGAGGUAGAGGGUGCAGUGAGCCAAGAUUGCACCACUGCACUCUAGCCUGGGUGACAGAGCGAGACUCUGUCUCAA
RNAcentral lists this non-coding RNA (148 nucleotides) under Pan troglodytes (chimpanzee). Lineage: Eukaryota; Metazoa; Chordata; Mammalia; Primates; Hominidae. The record is from Rfam by way of RNAcentral.